GCCUGGGUGGCUCAGUCGGUAGAGUGUCCGACUUUGGCUCAGGUUGUGAUCUCACGGUUCGAGGGUUCGAGCCCCGCGUCGGGCU
This 85-nucleotide transfer RNA is filed under the name Felis catus (domestic cat). It matches the Rfam family "tRNA". From Rfam's summary of the family: Transfer RNA (tRNA) molecules are approximately 80 nucleotides in length. Their secondary structure includes four short double-helical elements and three loops (D, anti-codon, and T loops). Lineage: Eukaryota; Metazoa; Chordata; Mammalia; Carnivora; Felidae. The record is from Rfam by way of RNAcentral.